ACGCUGGCGGCAGGCCUAACACAUGCAAGUCGAGCGGCAGCGGGAAAGUAGCUUGCUACUUUUGCCGGCGAGCGGCGGACGGGUGAGUAAUGCCUGGGGAUCUGCCCAGUCGAGGGGGAUAACUACUGGAAACGGUAGCUAAUACCGCAUACGCCCUACGGGGGAAAGCAGGGGACCUUCGGGCCUUGCGCGAUUGGAUGAACCCAGGUGGGAUUAGCUAGUUGGUGAGGUAAUGGCUCACCAAGGCGACGAUCCCUAGCUGGUCUGAGAGGAUGAUCAGCCACACUGGAACUGAGACACGGUCCAGACUCCUACGGGAGGCAGCAGUGGGGAAUAUUGCACAAUGGGGGAAACCCUGAUGCAGCCAUGCCGCGUGUGUGAAGAAGGCCUUCGGGUUGUAAAGCACUUUCAGCGAGGAGGAAAGGUUGGUAGCUAAUAACUGCCAGCUGUGACGUUACUCGCAGAAGAAGCACCGGCUAACUCCG
RNAcentral lists this ribosomal RNA (485 nucleotides) under Aeromonas veronii. RNAcentral describes it as "bacterial SSU rRNA". It matches the Rfam family "Bacterial small subunit ribosomal RNA", at positions 33 to 505 of the family's 1533-position model. The record is from RNAcentral. Lineage: Bacteria; Pseudomonadati; Pseudomonadota; Gammaproteobacteria; Aeromonadales; Aeromonadaceae.